Molecule: ribosomal RNA, 465 nt
Filed under: Vreelandella stevensii
Lineage: Bacteria; Pseudomonadati; Pseudomonadota; Gammaproteobacteria; Oceanospirillales; Halomonadaceae
Description: partial 16S ribosomal RNA
Rfam family: Bacterial small subunit ribosomal RNA
Source: RNAcentral
CCUACGGGAGGCUGCAGUGGGGAAUAUUGGACAAUGGGGGCAACCCUGAUCCAGCCAUGCCGCGUGUGUGAAGAAGGCCCUCGGGUUGUAAAGCACUUUCAGUGAGGAAGAACGCCUGGUGGUUAAUACCCAUCAGGAAAGACAUCACACACAGAAGAAGCACCGGCUAACUCCGUGCCAGCAGCCGCGGUAAUACGGAGGGUGCGAGCGUUAAUCGGAAUUACUGGGCGUAAAGCGCGCGUAGGUGGCUUGAUAAGCCGGUUGUGAAAGCCCCGGGCUCAACCUGGGAACGGCAUCCGGAACUGUCAAGCUAGAGUGCAGGAGAGGAAGGUAGAAUUCCCGGUGUAGCGGUGAAAUGCGUAGAGAUCGGGAGGAAUACCAGUGGCGAAGGCGGCCUUCUGGACUGACACUGACACUGAGGUGCGAAAGCGUGGGUAGCAAACAGGAUUAGAUACCCUUGUAGUC